Molecule: ribosomal RNA, 441 nt
Filed under: uncultured bacterium
Lineage: Bacteria
Description: partial 16S ribosomal RNA
Rfam family: Bacterial small subunit ribosomal RNA
Source: RNAcentral
CCUACGAGGUGGCUGCAGUAGGGAAUAUUGCUCAAUGGGGGACACCCUGAAGCAGCAACGCCGCGUGGAGGAUGAAGGUUUUCGGAUUGUAAACUCCUUUUGUUAGAGAAGAUAAUGACGGUAUCUAACGAAUAAGCACCGGCUAACUCCGUGCCAGCAGCCGCGGUAAUACGGAGGGUGCAAGCGUUACUCGGAAUCACUGGGCGUAAAGAGCGCGUAGGCGGGAUAGCAAGUCAGAUGGGAAAUCCUAUGGCUUAACCAUAGAACUGCAUUUGAACCUGUUAUUCUAGAGUAUGGGAGAGGUAGGUGGAAUUCUUGGUGUAGGGGUAAAAUCCGUAGAGAUCAGGAGGAAUACUCAUUGCGAAGGCGACCUGCUAGAACAUAACUGACGCUGAUGCGCGAAAGCGUGGGGAGCAAACAGGAUUAGAUACCCGGGUAGUC